Rana temporaria (common frog) is the source of this 74-nucleotide non-coding RNA. NCBI's taxonomy places the organism in Eukaryota, Metazoa, Chordata, Amphibia, Anura, Ranidae. The record is from the annotation of a RefSeq genome assembly.
GUCUCUGUGGCGCAAUCGGCUAGCGCGUUCGGCUGUUAACCAAAAGGUUGGUGGUUCGAGCCCACCCAGGGACG